CUCUAAUUCUCCUGCCCACCCAGGCUUGCGGCGCUGAUUGGAGAUAACUUAGAACUGGGCUGCGUGCUCAGCGGAGGAGGCAGAGCGGAGGUAAGCUGGGUCAGGGACCCGUUCCCCUGUGCACCCCCCCUCACCGGUUAUUGCAGGCAACCCUCUCUGCGCGCCCCCCCACCCAGCUCACCUCCACCUCCUCGCCUGAGGGGGCUUUUAGGCGCCACCAACCACUAGGCGCCCUAGGCGGCCGCCUAGUUUGCCCAAAUGGUUGCACCAGCCCUGGCUACAUUGAUGACAUCUUCAUCAUCUGUACUCAUGGAAAAGAAGCCCUUGAGGAUUUUAACAAUUUCCAUCCCACCAUCAACCUCAGCCUAGACCAAUCCACACAAGUGGUCCAUUUCCUAGACACUACUGUGCUAAUAAGCAAUGGUCACAUAAACACCACCCUAUACCGGAAACCCACUGACCGCUAUACUUACCUACAUGCCUCCAGCUUCCAUCCAGCACACACCACACAACCCAUUAUCUACAGCCAAGCUCUAAGAUACAACCGUAUUUGCUCCAAUCCCUCAGACAGAGAUAAACACCUACAAGAUCUCUAUCAAGCAUUCUUAAAACUACAAUACCCACCCGCUGAAGUGAAAACACAGAUUGACAGAGCCAGAAGAGUACCCAGAAGCCACCUACUACAGGACAGGCCCAACAAAGAAAAUAACAGAACACCACUAGCCAUCACCUACAGCCCCCAACUAAAACCUCUCCAGCGCAUCAUCAAAGAUCUACAACCUAUCCUUAGAGAUGAUCCCUCACUCUCACAGGUCUUGAGAGACAGGCCAGUCCUCGCUUAUAGACAGCCUCCCAACCUGAAGCAAAUACUCACCAGCAACCGCACACCAUACAACAUAAACACUAACCCAGGAACCUAUCCUUGCAACAAAGCCCAAUGCCAGCUCUGUCCACAUAUCUAUUCAAGUGACACCAUCAUAGGACCUAAUCACAUCAGCCACGCCAUCGGGCUCAUUCACCUGCACAUCUACCAAUGUUAUAUAUGUCAUCAUGUGCCAGAAAUGCCCCUCUGCCAUGUACAUUGGCCAAACCGGACAGUCUCUACGCAAAAGAAUAAAUGGACACAAAUCUGACAUCAGGAAUCAUAACAUUCAAAAACCAGUGGGAGAACACUUCAACCUCUCUAACCACUCAGUGACAGACUUGAAGGUGGCAAUUUUGCAACAAAAAAACUUCAAAAACAGACUCCAAAGAAAGACUGCUGAACUCAAACUAAUAUGCAAAUUAGAUACAAUUAACUCAGGCUUAAACAGAGACUGAGAAUUUUUGGGUCAUUACACUAAUUGAAUCUAUUUCCCUAUGUUAAGUUCUCCUCACACCUUCUUUGGGUCAUCUUAAUUAUCACUUCAAAAGGUUUUUUUUCUCCUGCUGAUGAUAGCUCAUCUCAAUUGAUUAGACUCUUCCAGUUGGUAUGCAUACUUCCACCUUUUCAUGUUCUCUGUAUGUAUAAAU
RNAcentral lists this long non-coding RNA (1512 nucleotides) under Gopherus agassizii (Agassiz's desert tortoise). RNAcentral describes it as "lncRNA (ENSGAGG00000011312.1)". Lineage: Eukaryota; Metazoa; Chordata; Testudines; Testudinidae. The record is from RNAcentral.